This 373-nucleotide ribosomal RNA is filed under the name uncultured bacterium. Its description in RNAcentral is "bacterial SSU rRNA". It matches the Rfam family "Bacterial small subunit ribosomal RNA", at positions 524 to 898 of the family's 1533-position model. The record is from RNAcentral.
UACGGAGGGUGCAAGCGUUAUUCGGAAUUAUUGGGCGUAAAGGGCGUGCAGGCGGUCCUGCAAGUCCGGCGUGAAAGACCCCGGCCCAACCGGGGGGACGCGCUGGAAACUGCAGGGCUUGAGUACAGGAGGGGAUGCCGGAAUUCCAGGUGUAGGGGUGAAAUCUGUAGAUAUCUGGAAGAACACCAAUGGCGAAGGCAGGCAUCUGGCCAUGUACUGACGCUGAGACGCGAAGGUGCGGGGAGCAAACAGGUUGAGAUACCCUGGUAGUCCGCACAGUAAACGAUGUGCACCAGGUGGCGGGGGGUCGACCCCCGGUACCGUAGCUAACGCAUUAAGUGCACCGCCUGGGGAGUAUGCUCGCAAGGGUGAA